AAUCCAUAGGUUAAUGAGGCGAACCGGGGGAACUGAAACAUCUAAGUACCCCGAGGAAAAGAAAUCAACCGAGAUUCCCCCAGUAGCGGCGAGCGAACGGGGAGGAGCCCAGAGCCUGAAUCAGCAUGUGUGUUAGUGGAAGCGUCUGGAAAGGCGCGCGAUACAGGGUGACAGCCCCGUACACAAAAGCGCAUGUGCUGUGAGCUCGAUGAGUAGGGCGGGACACGUGGUAUCCUGUCUGAAUAUGGGGGGACCAUCCUCCAAGGCUAAAUACUCCUGACUGACCGAUAGUGAACCAGUACCGUGAGGGAAAGGCGAAAAGAACCCCGGCGAGGGGAGUGAAAAAGAACCUGAAACCGUGUACGUACAAGCAGUGGGAGCACAGGUUUACCUGUGUGACUGCGUACCUUUUGUAUAAUGGGUCAGCGACUUAUAUUCUGUAGCAAGGUUAACCGAA
RNAcentral lists this ribosomal RNA (457 nucleotides) under Salmonella enterica. RNAcentral describes it as "partial 23S ribosomal RNA". It matches the Rfam family "Bacterial large subunit ribosomal RNA", at positions 161 to 654 of the family's 2925-position model. Lineage: Bacteria; Pseudomonadati; Pseudomonadota; Gammaproteobacteria; Enterobacterales; Enterobacteriaceae. The record is from RNAcentral. RNAcentral also lists the same sequence under 1 other name.